UACGUAGGCAGCGAGCGUUGUUCGGAGUUACUGGGCGUAAAGCGCACGUAGGCGGCUUUGUAAGUUAGAGGUGAAAGCCCGGGGCUCAACUCCGGAAUUGCCUUUAAGACUGCAUCGCUAGAAUUGUGGAGAGGUAAGUGGAAUUCCGAGUGUAGAGGUGAAAUUCGUAGAUAUUCGGAAGAACACCAGUGGCGAAGGCGGCUCACUGGACUGGUAUUGACGCUGAGGUGCGAAAGCGUGGGGAGCAAACAGG
Molecule: ribosomal RNA, 253 nt
Filed under: uncultured bacterium
Lineage: Bacteria
Description: partial 16S ribosomal RNA
Rfam family: Bacterial small subunit ribosomal RNA
Source: RNAcentral